GGGGAUGAUAUGGCUUCGACGCUGGUAACGAAACCAGAGGUGCAUGCCGAGUGUACAGUGGCACUCGUACUCCAAUCGCUGUAAUCAAUAGUUGCAAAUGAUGACAACUACGGUGCUGCUCUAGCUGCGUAAGCAGUUAAAAAAGCACUUUUAGGGGUACGCCCCUAACGGUCUGUAACAAGGUGCCUGUACCGCGAUACCGACUGUCACUCAGAACAGGACCGCACCACGGCAUACUCGGG
This 242-nucleotide transfer-messenger RNA is filed under the name Oleiphilus sp. HI0067. RNAcentral describes it as "partial transfer-messenger RNA". It matches the Rfam family "transfer-messenger RNA", at positions 1 to 220 of the family's 374-position model. Rfam says of the family: Bacterial tmRNA, also known as 10Sa RNA or SsrA, is named for its dual tRNA and mRNA-like properties. Its role is to liberate the mRNA from a stalled ribosome. To accomplish this part of the tmRNA is used as a reading frame that ends in a translation stop signal. The record is from RNAcentral. Lineage: Bacteria; Pseudomonadati; Pseudomonadota; Gammaproteobacteria; Oceanospirillales; Oleiphilaceae.